GAAAUGUUUGUUCAGAAAGUAUGAACAAACAGCCACUGAUUGCUCAAGGUUGGAAAAAAAAAUAUGCAUUUGAGUUUGUUGCAACAGGCAGGUGGAGGCAUGACAUUUACAUACAGCCAAGACAAACUUAAGCUUUUUAUCAUGUCAGCAGUUUAAUUUUCUACCAAUGGAGUUGAAAGUGAAACAGCAUAUAGAGAAGUUACCAGUUGUAGCAUCUUUGAAUUGCUCUUUGCUAUUCUCCGGGAACUUAUGAUGAUGAAUCCAGCCCCAAAACUGUCAGAAAAUUAAGCAUUGGUUGAUGACAGUGGAAGACCAACACCAAGAAAGCUACAAAACUUUGGUUGGCCAUUCUCUUUCAAGAUCACAUCAAGAAUAAGUUGGAGGGCCAUUACAGACAUAAGUCUACUGUUGUGGUUACAUGACACGUACAUUUAUUGGCGUAGCUAUCCGUAGUUACAAUCAUCAAUCAUCUCAGAAAAGGCAUAUAGAUGAUGACGGUCCUGGCAGAAAAGUAAAGAAAGAGUGUUUUUUCCAAGAAACAUAUGGAAAGCUCCGUGACAAAACAACAACCACUGCUUUCGUACUAGUUGAUUCAGACAAGUGAAGCUGUCAACGACAUCAGAUGUUUUAACCUGUUAUUGGGCCAGAUGAUGAGGAUCAAAAUGGGAUGGGCCAGAAUGAGUUUUGAAUGUUGAUCAAUGGACUGGCUGAUUCAAAAUGGCCAUUUUGGUGAGGCGUCGCAACUGCUGUGCGGACGAUAACAUUCAGAACACACAGGUGCAGAUGUAAUGUUGCUGAGACGCAUGGCUGAUGUGAAACAAGUUGAGAUUGGUACCAGACAAAUGAAAUGGAUAAAAGAGGUAUCACCAUCUCUUGUUCUCACCAUUUCUUCUGACCUGUCGACGUCUUUAUGUUCAUCAUCUGGUCCUGAUUCUAUCUUUCCGUUUAUUCAUGCACUUGAGCUAGCCCACAACUACACCAUAGAUUCCCCAAAUUGUAUUUCCCUCUAUUCUGUGCAGAUCCUAUUCCCCUAUGAUGUAAUCGAGUUCUAUGGGUGGGAUGUAUACGUUACAACUCGUUUAUUGUCUACGU
Long non-coding RNA from Brassica oleracea var. oleracea, 1092 nucleotides. RefSeq lists it as uncharacterized. NCBI's taxonomy places the organism in Eukaryota, Viridiplantae, Streptophyta, Magnoliopsida, Brassicales, Brassicaceae. The transcript is spliced from 6 exons. The record is from RefSeq and is a predicted model, not a curated record.